UACGGAAGGCAGCAGUGGGGAAUAUUGCACAAUGGGCGCAAGCCUGAUGCAGCCAUGCCGCGUGUAUGAAGAAGGCCUUCGGGUUGUAAAGUACUUUCAGUCGUGAGGAAGGUGUUAAGGUUAAUAACCUUAGCAAUUGACGUUAGCGACAGAAGAAGCACCGGCUAACUCCGUGCCAGCAGCCGCGGUAAUACGGAGGGUGCGAGCGUUAAUCGGAAUUACUGGGCGUUAAAGGGCACGCAGGCGGUUAAUUAAGUUGGAUGUGAAAUCCCCGGGCUUAACCUGGGAAUGGCAUUCAAGACUGGUUAGCUAGAGUCUUGUAGAGGGGGUAGAAUUCCAUGUGUAGCGGUGAAAUGCGUAGAGAUGUGGAGGAAUACCGGUGGCGAAGGCGGCCCCUGGACAAAGACUGACGCUCAUGUGCGAAAGCUGGGGAGCAAAC
RNAcentral lists this ribosomal RNA (439 nucleotides) under uncultured bacterium. Its description in RNAcentral is "bacterial SSU rRNA". It matches the Rfam family "Bacterial small subunit ribosomal RNA", at positions 340 to 773 of the family's 1533-position model. The record is from RNAcentral.